GGUAGCGUGGCCGAGUUGGUCUAAGGCGUUGGAUUUAAGAUACUUGAUUCCCAAUGGGCGCAAGUCCGCGCGAGUUCGAACCUCGCCGCUACCA
Molecule: transfer RNA, 94 nt
Organism: Paxillus involutus ATCC 200175
Lineage: Eukaryota; Fungi; Basidiomycota; Agaricomycetes; Boletales; Paxillaceae
Rfam family: tRNA
About the family: Transfer RNA (tRNA) molecules are approximately 80 nucleotides in length. Their secondary structure includes four short double-helical elements and three loops (D, anti-codon, and T loops).
Source: Rfam